RNAcentral lists this ribosomal RNA (422 nucleotides) under uncultured bacterium. RNAcentral describes it as "bacterial SSU rRNA". It matches the Rfam family "Bacterial small subunit ribosomal RNA", at positions 355 to 774 of the family's 1533-position model. The record is from RNAcentral.
UAAGGAAUAUUGGACAAUGGUCGCAAGACUGAUCCAGCCAUGCCGCGUGCAGGAGGACGGCCCUAUGGGUUGUAAACUGCUUUUGUACCAGAGAAAACCUAUCUACGUGUAGAUAGCUGAUAGUAUGGUAAGAAUAAGCAUCGGCUAACUUCGUGCCAGCAGCCGCGGUAAGACGAAGGAUGCAAGCGUUAUCCGGAUUCAUUGGGUUUAAAGGGUGCGUAGGCGGGCUUGUAAGUCAGUGGUGAAAUCUCUCAGCUUAACUGAGAAACUGCCAUUGAUACUGCAGGCCUAGAGUAUAGAUGACGUUGGCGGAAUAUGACAUGUAGUGGUGAAAUACUUAGAUAUGUCAUAGAACACCGAUUGCGAAGGCAGCUAACGAAACUAUAACUGACGCUGAGGCACGAAAGUGCGGGGAUCAAACA